This 107-nucleotide small nuclear RNA is filed under the name Bemisia tabaci. The record is from RNAcentral. Lineage: Eukaryota; Metazoa; Arthropoda; Insecta; Hemiptera; Aleyrodidae.
GUACUCGCUUCGGCGGUACAUAUACUAAAAUUGGAACGAUACAGAGAAGAUUAGCAUGGCCCCUUCGCAAGGAUGACACGCAAAAUCGUGAAGCGUUCCACAUUUUU